GUCAGCAGGGGGAAUAACCCAGGGCUGUGAAUGAGCCCUGUCACUGUGAUCAGGUUCCUCCUUCUAAUCCACCAACUUAGUGUUGAUGAAGACUAAACAGAGAGAUCCCAGCCUUCUUUCUACUUGCUGUAGCUCAGAGUUACUCCACACUGCAGACAUGACGCCUCUGUUCAUCUCAGUGCUGCUGGCUGCUAUGAGCCUUGAAUGCAGAGCACAACAAGACAACGUGCUGCAACCAACAGGAGAUGUGACUGCUACUGAAGGAGAGGCAGUAACACUUGGCUGUCAAUAUACCAGCAGUUCAUCUAAUAAUUAUCUCUUCUGGUACAAACAGGAUGGAAACAACAGACCCAAAUUCAUUCUGAUGCGCUUUCAAGGGGAUGAAGGGAACACACCGGACGAGUUCAGGGACAGAUUUUCAUCUACACUCAAUUCCAAGUUAAAGUCAGUUCCUCUGAAGAUCUCCUCAGCUAAGCUGUCUGACUCUGCUGUGUACUACUGUGCUCUGAGGCCCACAGUGACAGGAAACACCAAAACUCUGUACAAAAACCUUUGGAGCAAAGACAACACAAUACUCCACAACGUCCACCAGAGGGAGACACACUCUGUUAACCUUCAACAUGAUGUAGUCUAGAAUCACUUUACCUUAGAAGUGUAACUGAGAGAAGAGAAACUACAGAGCUACGAGGAGACGGAGAGACUCAGGGAGGAGCUGAGCUGUUACUGAACUAUAGAAGAGAGAGGAACUUCUAGAUU
This is a non-coding RNA of Etheostoma spectabile (orangethroat darter), 756 nucleotides long. NCBI's taxonomy places the organism in Eukaryota, Metazoa, Chordata, Actinopteri, Perciformes, Percidae. The record is from the annotation of a RefSeq genome assembly.